GAAAUGCGAUACUUGGUGUGAAUUGCAGAAUCCCGUGAACCAUCGAGUCUUUGAACGCAAGUUGCGCCCGAGGCCCUCGGGUCGAGGGCACGCCUGCCUGGGCGUCACGCCUCGCAUCGGACAGCACCCACUGCCCUCCUGGGCCGGGUGUGGCUUCGGAGAUUGGCCUUUCGUGCACUCGCGUGCGGUGGGCUAAAGAGAGGGCCGCCGUUCGGGUCGGCACGACGAGUGGUGGACUUUUGUGCCAACAGGAUGUCGUGUCCCCGGACGUCAAAGAGCCAAGGACACCCGGAUUGGGCGUGCAAGAAGCUCUUCCGCAUGGGAGGGCGUGCCGCCUCGCAACGUGACCCCAGGUCAGGCGGGGACACCCGCUGAGUUUAA
RNAcentral lists this unclassified non-coding RNA (381 nucleotides) under uncultured fungus. RNAcentral describes it as "sequence contains ITS1". The stretch from base 1 to 107 matches the Rfam family "5.8S ribosomal RNA", at positions 50 to 154 of the family's 154-position model. The record is from RNAcentral. Lineage: Eukaryota; Fungi.